CAAUAGCGUAUAUUAAAGUUGUUGCAGUUAAAAAGCUCGUAGUUGGAUUUGUGGUGUAUGGUGUGUUCCGGGCACUUGUUGUCUGAGUAACUUGCCAUUGCCAUCCUUGGGUGGAACCUGUGUGGCAUUAGGUUGUCGUGCAGGGGAUGCCCAUCGUUUACUGUGAAAAAAUUAGAGUGUUCAAAGCAGGCUUAUGCCGUUGAAUAUAUUAGCAUGGAAUAAUAAGAUAGGACUUUUUUGCUAUUUUGUUGGUUUGCGCGAGAAGGUAAUGAUUAAUAGGGAUAGUUGGGGGUAUUCGUAUUCCAUUGUCAGAGGUGAAAUUCUUGGAUUUUUGGAAGACGAACUAUUGCGAAAGCAUUUACCAAGGAUGUUUUCAUUAA
This 380-nucleotide ribosomal RNA is filed under the name uncultured eukaryote. RNAcentral describes it as "partial 18S ribosomal RNA". It matches the Rfam family "Eukaryotic small subunit ribosomal RNA", at positions 592 to 976 of the family's 1831-position model. The record is from RNAcentral.